RNAcentral lists this unclassified non-coding RNA (1602 nucleotides) under Helicoverpa zea (corn earworm). Its description in RNAcentral is "eR membrane protein complex subunit 10, transcript variant X1". The record is from RNAcentral. Lineage: Eukaryota; Metazoa; Arthropoda; Insecta; Lepidoptera; Noctuidae.
UUAUAAUAUGCUAUCACCAGCCAGAGUGCACCGUACUGAUAAAAUCUGAUUCUGAAAUUCAUUCCUACAAGGAAACAGACAAACAGAAGCUUUAUUUAUUACAGUGAAAAAUGAUUUCACAAUCGUUUGCAGUCAUAGCGCUCCUGGGAUUAUUCAAAUAUGGGGCUUGUAUUGACUAUGAUGGAUGGCUGAACAUAAAGAUAGAACACUCAUUAAACUGUGGAGAUGAAAAUUAUUGCUCGAGGGGCAAUAUAGCUUUGAAGAGUAUUCGAGCUGGUGCCUCAGUCAUUGAUCAAAUUCCUUUUACGAAGCAGCAUAUAGAAGAAUUGAAAAGUAUUGCAGAAACUGAUGGGUUCUACACCAUAAGAACAGUGGUGACAUCUGCUGAAAAUAGUCAUGGCACUGAAUUCUUUUCAUCAGUCAAGGCUGGAGCCUUCCUUGCAAAUGGCCUGUCUGAUGUAAUUAAUGCUUGGGUAUUGCCCAAUGGAGCAGUUAUAGCUGUCAGUUUCCAAGUGACCAACUCCUCGCAGCCAUUGCCCAGAGAAGGCAACAAUUAUAGAAUUAACUCUAACUUCUACCUACGCUAUGUUGAACAAGCCCCUGUCCCUGACACAGCAUCAUACAUCCAAAAACUAGAACGUGAAAGGGAAGCAAGAGAGAAGGGUGACAUGAAAGACAACAAAUCAUUCUUAGCCAAAUAUUGGAUGUACAUUGUGCCUAUUGCAAUAUUUGUCAUGAUAUCUGGAGCAAGCAACCCAGAACCAGCUGCUCAAGGGGCACGAUAAACCAAAGAACACUACAGUACAUUAUGAACUUCAAUAACUACUAGAACACCUUUACUAUUAAGUUUAAUCUUAUUCAUGCAAGGUUAUUAUAUUCAGCAUUAUUUAAGACUGGUCAUUAUUUAAUGGUCUGAGACACAUCCAUAAUCACCUGUCUAGCAUUUUCCCUACGUUGGGUUCAGAUAUUAGUAAAGCAAACUGACGAUUGCUGAUAUAAUUUUUUAUAAUUAAGAUGGUAGGAUAAAUUGGGUAAGGUUACAUUGUAAACAAUUAUGUCAUAGAUUACAAACUUUAAUGUGUUGGUCUAAUCUAAAAGUACCUAAAAAGUACUUUUAGUUUUUUUGUGCUGUGUAGAAUAAUAGUAUUAUUUUCGGGUUAUUCCCGCUCGGUAACACCCUUUCGUGAACACUGUGGACGAUCGGGAAAAAACAGUUUCGUUCGUUCACAGUGUUGACGAACGCUAGUUAUUAUUUUUGUGUAAAAUGGUUAUUAUGCACAUGAUAAGGCCACUUUUAUUUUCUAGUUAAUUGUGUUUUAAAAGAUCUAACAUCCAUUAAAAUAUUUUAAAAAUCCAUGACAUUUUAUUUCCAUAUUUUAAAAAUAAAAACCAGCAUUCAUGGACACUGCGAAUGAAUGAAACUUUUCUCGAUCGUCAACAGUGUUGACGAAAAGGUGUUACUGACCGGGAAUAACAUUUAUUUUCAGAUUGUGUUGCAAAUGUUACUAAAUUAUUUAUGAACAUUAUAUUUCAAAAGUCUUUCACAUGUGUUGGGUUAUGCAAACAGUUGUGUGUAACUAUUUAUUAAAAAUGUAAUAUUAA